AUUAAAUUAGAACAUUAUUCAAGUUUUUCUUUUUUACUUUUUUUUAAUUUCUGAAUUUUUUGCCUAAAACAAAAAAAAAAAAAUUAAGCUUACAUAAAUUUUAUAAAAUCUCGAAUCUGAGAUUAGAUCGAUUUUAAUGGAAAACUAUGUAGAUAUUUUAUACCCAUUCUAAGUGCAGUAAGUUAGUUUGCAUAACUACUACUUAGAAUCAGUACCAGUUCAUUGUAGCACAUGGAGCCAGUGUUUUAUAGCUCGUUAAUGCAAAACUAUCGGAAGUUAUUCACGGAACACUAUUGUAAGAUACGUAGAUACGUAGAUAUACCAAGUAUGUUGAAGCAUUGCCAAUAUUACAAUCACUGCUUGUGCAGCACAGAACCAUGUAUUCACCUUAGACUACUACACCUGCUAGUUUCUUGGAAUACAAAAAUUACCCAACCUUGAACUACUUUUAACUGUUGCUCACUGUACCAGAGUUUUCAUAAUCUCUUACUUCAAAUAUAACUUUACUCCAUAUGUAAAAUAGAUACAAAUCAAAUAUUUGUUUAUGUUCCGUUACAUGAUUUAGAAUUAAAUAAAUAAACCGCCGGUUUAUACACGUUCUCAACAGUUUAAUAACAAAAUUUAUUAUUUAGUAAAUAAGUAAUAAAAAUUUUGGCAUAGAAAUUACACGCACAUAUAUAUAUAUAUUUUUUUGCUCUGUUUAUUAAGUAAAUCAAAGAGCAUGCUAUGUGACUCUGCAAACAUUAAAGGACCCCAUUAAACGCGCUGAGACUUAAUGAGCAUUUAUAAGUCACCAGUUCUGUUUCGAAGAAUAAAACGUUUGUGUAGAUGUAAAAAAAAAUAAAAAAGAAAUGUUAAUAAGUAUGCAAUUUUCUGCUAAAUGGUAUCCUUAAAUCAAUUUAGAGUUCUUAAUCUAGAAUGGCAGCCAAGAGAGGAAAAUUGUAUAUGAAAUUGCAUCGCUUCCGGGUGCAAAUAGAAUUUUCUGGGUCUGAGAGGUAAUUUUAGGUUCGAGCCCCCUUUAACCUUAGGUUAAAUUUAAACAUAUAAAGGAUCCACCGUCGUUGGGGGAAUAAAAACUUUCAGGACGUUCCCCCCUUUUUAAUAUUCUUUCUAUAAGAUUAUCUUGUUUAUUAUUAACAUAAAAGCUUUUCGCUGUUUUUACAAACUCGAAAACGUUAAUAUUAAAAUUUGUUUACGUUAGAUAAAUAUUUUUAUUCAAACCUGUUUUACUACACAAAAAUAAUCGUAUUUUUAUGAUUUAAAACAAAAUCCUUUUCGUAAGCUUUCCAUCGAGAAUAUUUUUUCGUUAAAGAGCAAAACUUAUCCGGAUAGCCUACUAUAAUCGCAAAAAAAAAGCUAAAAACGAAAAAGUAUAAUAAAAUUUUGAGUGUUUCUUAUAUAUUUUUUAACAUUUUGAGACAGUUUUAUCGACAACAAUCGACAAAAAAAAAAGGCAACAAGCGUCAUUUGAAAUAAGCGAUAAUACGAAACUUCUCGAAGCCAUUGUCGUCGAUGCCCAACGUGUCGUAAAAACUUUAUUUACAGCCUGUGCUAGUAGAACGAUGACGUCAUUAAUUCUAUCCAGUUUUUAUUACGGUUUGUCGCUUUUUCAUCGCUACAGCUCUUCUGGUUUCGGAUCAUUGUUUCCGAUUUUCUGACCACGUGUUAACCAAUCCGAUUCUGAAACAAGUUCAGCACAGCUACGUUUUGCUUCAUUAUCUCUAGUAUAUAUUUUAUGCAUGGAAAGUUUAGAUUCUAAUCUUUCACUAGAUAACUUAAUCUGUUUAAUUUUUACAGACACCUUACCAGUUUUUACUUUCACGUCAGCUCGAAUGACACGAUGUUAUUUUAAUAUUUUUGUUAAACGCAAAUGUUUCG
This 1878-nucleotide long non-coding RNA is filed under the name Androctonus crassicauda. The record is from RNAcentral. Lineage: Eukaryota; Metazoa; Arthropoda; Arachnida; Scorpiones; Buthidae.